UACAGAGGGUGCGAGCGUUGUCCGGAAUCACUGGGCGUAAAGGGCGCGUAGGUGGCGAGCCAAGUCCAUGGUGAAAGCUCGAUGCUCAACAUCGAGUCGGCCACGGAUACUGGUGCGCUUGAGCACUGUAGAGGCUAAUGGAAUUCCGGGUGUAGCGGUGGAAUGCGUAGAGAUCCGGAAGAACACCGGUGGCGAAGGCGGUUAGCUGGGCAGUUGCUGACACUGAGGCGCGAAAGCGUGGGGAGCAAACAGG
RNAcentral lists this ribosomal RNA (253 nucleotides) under uncultured bacterium. Its description in RNAcentral is "partial 16S ribosomal RNA". It matches the Rfam family "Bacterial small subunit ribosomal RNA", at positions 524 to 776 of the family's 1533-position model. The record is from RNAcentral.